RNAcentral lists this ribosomal RNA (655 nucleotides) under Bacillus spizizenii. Its description in RNAcentral is "bacterial SSU rRNA". It matches the Rfam family "Bacterial small subunit ribosomal RNA", at positions 43 to 695 of the family's 1533-position model. Lineage: Bacteria; Bacillati; Bacillota; Bacilli; Caryophanales; Bacillaceae. The record is from RNAcentral.
CAAUAUUAGACAUGAUAGUCGAGCAGACAGCAUGGAGCUUGCUCCCUGAUGUUAGCGGCGGACGGGUGAGUAACACGUGGGUAACCUGCCUGUAAGACUGAUAACUCCGGGAAACCGGGGCUAAUACCGGAUGCUUGUUUGAACCGCAUGUUCAAACAAAAAAGGUGGCUUCGGCUACCACUUACAGAUGGACCCGCGGGCAUUAUCUAGUUGGUGAGGUAAUGGCUCACCAAGGCCACGAUGCGUAGCCCUGAGAGGGUGAUCGGGCACACUGGGACUGACACACGGCCCAAACUCACGGGAGGCAGCAAUUUGGAAUCUUCCGCAAUGGACGAAAGUCUGACGGGACGCCGCGUGAAUGAUGAAGGUUUUCGGAUCGCUUUUUCUGUUGUUAGGAAACAAGUACCGUUCGAAUAUGGCUGGUACCUUGACGGUACCUAACCAGAACUAACGGCUUGCCUAGCGUGCCGCCAGCCGCGGUAAAUACGUAGGUCAAGUUUAUCCGAAAUUAUUGGGCGUGAGGGGGCUGGCAGGCACAUUACUAUGUCGGAUGUGAAAGCCCCCCGCCUCACCCUGCGAGUGUGAAUGGUAAACUGAGAAACUUCAGAACAAGAGAGGAGACUCCAUUUCCAAGUGUACGCUGCAUUGCGUAGAG